GACGAACGCUGGCGGCGUGCUUAACACAUGCAAGUCGAACGGAAAGGCCCCUUUGGGGGUACUCGAGUGGCGAACGGGUGCGUAACACGUGAGUAACCUGCCCUUGCCUUCGGGAUAACUUCAGGAAACUGGGGCUAAUACCGGAUAGGAAUCCUUGCUGCAUGGGGGGGGUUGGAAAGCUUCGGCGGUUUUGGCUGGACUCGCGGCUUAUCAGCUUGUUGGUGGGGUAGUGGCUUACCAAGGCUUUGACGGGUAGCCGGCCUGUGAGGGCGACCGGCCACAUUGGGACUGAGGUACGGCCCAGACUCCUACUGGAGGCAGCAGGGGGGAAUAUUGCACAAUGGGCGGAAGCCUGAUGCAGCAACGCCGCGUGCGGGAUGACGGCCUUCGGGUUGUAAACCGCUUUCAGCAGGGGCGAAGCUUGUGGUGACGGUACCUGCAGAAGAAGCACCGGCUAACUACGUG
RNAcentral lists this ribosomal RNA (465 nucleotides) under uncultured bacterium. RNAcentral's name for it is "partial 16S ribosomal RNA". It matches the Rfam family "Bacterial small subunit ribosomal RNA", at positions 28 to 507 of the family's 1533-position model. The record is from RNAcentral.